CAUGCAUGGAACUAGUCAGAAAAUUUCAAAUGUCAGGCUGGGAAAUUCAGCAGUGAGAGACUGCAUCUGUGAGGCCCCGCUACUGCAGCACGACAUGACAAGAAGCAUCACUUGUUGGGAGUGCUCAUGAGAGCCAGUGAGAAGGAAUUCAAAGCUAAGGAUGCCUUUAUGGAAAAGUGGGCAUGAGGAGAGACAGUGAAUGAAGACACG
This is a long non-coding RNA of Fukomys damarensis (Damara mole-rat), 210 nucleotides long. RefSeq lists it as uncharacterized. NCBI's taxonomy places the organism in Eukaryota, Metazoa, Chordata, Mammalia, Rodentia, Bathyergidae. The transcript has 3 exons. The record is from RefSeq and is a predicted model, not a curated record.